UUCAAAUACUCGUUCUCAUACGAUCACCAAAGUUAGGCAACGUCGAGUCUUGUCGGUACUUAGGUGGGUGACCGCUUGGGAAUACUAGGCGCUGUAAG
This is a non-coding RNA of Acanthosepion pharaonis, 98 nucleotides long. The record is from the annotation of a GenBank genome assembly. Lineage: Eukaryota; Metazoa; Mollusca; Cephalopoda; Sepiida; Sepiidae.